Molecule: unclassified non-coding RNA, 3699 nt
Organism: Vigna unguiculata (cowpea)
Lineage: Eukaryota; Viridiplantae; Streptophyta; Magnoliopsida; Fabales; Fabaceae
Source: RefSeq, a predicted model, not a curated record
UGUUCGUUGCUUCCUUUGCCGACUCACUCUUUCUUACACCCUUUUUUGUUUCUUCCAUUUUCUUCUCGCGCGCACCACUCUUAUUCUCUCUAUUGCCUACUUACUGUUCGACGAAAUGCUCCAAGCAUGCACUUCCUCACCGCACCCUCCCUUUCCCUGUUCUCGCCUCACCUGAUCCCGUCCCUUGUCGCCCCGCUCUACUUCCCCGGCUCGACCGGGCGGGCGCGCCGGUUUGAGGUGGAACCUGGUUCGGUUCUCCAUUCUUCUUGGAGGGGGACCUGCUACAAGGGUUUGUGCUGGUCCUGUACUGGGUUCUUGCGGCGGUGUAAGGAUUGGGGCGGAGAAUUUUCCUCUCUCGAAUCCGAAAUUCUGGAGUUUAUGCAGAGUUCCGAUAAGCCCGAAGCGUUUCCCACCAAAGAGGAGUUGGUUGCUGCAGGGAGGGUGGAUUUGGUUAACGCUAUUGUCAACGAGGGAGGGUGGCUUGCGUUUGGGUGGGAAUUGAAUGGCAGGUCCAGUGGGAUUGGCGGUCUUGAAGAUAAUUGUAGCCAUGGAAUUGACGGUUAUGCCACUCAGGUUUCUGGGGUUUCUUCACCUUCUUCUUCUUCUUCCCAAACAGAUGACUCAGUAGAAAUUGAAGCUGACAAUGAAUCUGGCAUUGCGGGAAUAUUGAAUCGAUUGGAGAAACAAAGAAGUAGAUCUUUUGGGCUUGGCGUAGAUAAUAUUUCUCCUGAAAAUAAUGAAGACGGAGAUGAAUGGGAUCAUAGAACGGCUGUGGAUGCAAUAGCUACUGGCCUUGAAAAUAAUAGCAGAGCACCCUCAUUUAGCCCCACAAGCAGUCAUCCCAGUGGUUCUCAGAUCAAACCUGAUCAGCAUGGGUCACAAUUAGGUACUGAAAAUUCAGAAAACUCAGUUAAGCCAGAGUCAUGGCGGAGUUGGAUUGUUCAGAGAAAUGGUUUUCCAGAUGCAGAUUUUGAAGAUGCUGAAAUUAUUCCUAGUGAAACUCAGAAAGGAGGCAUGAGAAGGGAGUUUUCGUCUGAACUUAUAAACAAUGAAACAGGAUUAUAUUCUCUUGAUGGAAAUGCAAGUCACAAUGACAUUAAAUCCCGUAUCCAGCAUCUGCAAUCCGAGCUAUCUUCUACCCUUCACUCGUUGAGGUCUAGCUCAGAUAAAAUUACCAAGCAGAUAGUCCAUAAGAGCUCUUCUGAUGAUCUGGCAAAGCUUUCCGAUGCUUGGGAAUUUCAGGAAAAUGAGAUCAUGAAUGCUCAGGACAAAUUGCGUUCUAUACAGGCUAAGUUGGCAGUGUUAGAAGGAAAGAUGUCAUUGGCAAUAAUGGAUGCACAUAAGUUAGUCGAAGAAAAGCAGAUGAAGAUUAGUAAGGCUCAAAAGGCUUUGCACAUGCUGAAGACUACUUGUGUAGUCUGGCCAAAUAAUGCUUCAGAAGUAUUUUUAACGGGAUCAUUUGAUGGUUGGUCCAACAAGAGAAAGAUGGAGAGGUUAAGUAGUGGUAUAUUUUCUGUGAGCUUGCAGUUGUAUCCUGGAAGAUACGAGAUGAAGUUCAUUGUAGAUGGAGAAUGGAAAAUUGAUCCGUUGCGUCCUAUUGUAACCAACGAUGGCUAUGAGAAUAAUCUUUUUAUAGUUAGUGAAUGAUGGAAGAGAAAGUUAGCCUAAGAUAAUAUCUUUGGAACACAGGAGGGAUGACAUGCACUAGCUCUUCUUCCUUAUCACCGCAGACCACAACGCCUCCAACAGUCAGGGCCGCCACUGCACGUCCCACCGCCGGCGAGAGACGACGCUGACGCCGACGGUCACCCCCGGAGCAUCACCGCCGAGAACCAAGUUUCCCGAAUUGUUCCCUCUUGUUUUUUCUAUCACGCACACGUGGAGUCAGGGUUUUCUCCUUCACUCUCAUCCGCGGCAGCCCUUGCCCUCUACAUAACCAGCGCCGCCGCUACCCCCUGGCCGACCUUUCUUUGUUCUUCUCGCGCGAGCCACACCGGGUCCUGGAAGCCACGGCACCGAGCCCCACUGUCGCGCUACCAACCAUGAUCGAAGCCGCCGUUGAUCUGCUCAUUCGAACUCCGACUCGCCGGUGGCACUCUCUGCUUUGAUUGGACGUGUGUGAUUUGGGAAUAUGAGACGCGAGUGUUUGGUGUUGGAAUGGGGGUUCCGUUCGGUGAAUGGGGGUCUCUGUUUUUUAUUUUUGAUUUUUACGCAGGUGUAAGAUGAAGAUGAUGGUGGUGCGUGAAUGAGCUGCACUGGCCGAGAAUAAGUAAAUGGAGGUGUUGGAAAAUGAGAUCAUUGUUCCUGAAUUUUUUGUGUGUUUUUUUUUUUCAGAUAUAAUGGAUUGAAUGGCUGGGUACGGUGGGUUGGGUUCUGUAUUUUUCCAUGUUUUUUGCAGGUGGAAGAUGAAGGUGAAAGCACCGGAAGGCUAACUGGUGAUGGAGAAGUUUUUGUUGUGUGAUCUAUGUAUGAUGAUUGAUGGUUGAGGGAAUGAUGUAUUUGGGUUUCUGUUUCUUGGGACGAAAAAACUGAAGAAGAAAGGGUUGGCGUGAGAAGGUGAGGCCGUGAGGAUUGAGGGAGAGGGUGGUUUUCGGUUGUGCCACCAUGAUGGGUGAAGAUCGUUAAGCACUUGACCAACAACAGGACAUGUGAUUAUUCGAAUCAAGAGCCAAUCAGUUAAACACAGAUAAAUGCAGCAAACACAGUGUAUCAUGUUCGUUUAUGACAUUCAAGUUGAAGAUGAAACACAAAGCUUAACACACAUACAUCAUGCUCACUCAAACAAACAAACAUUGAAAGUCCAGAACUUACCUCUUGGAGCUCUCUCUGUGCUGGUGGUCUUGAGUUCCCUUACUCCUGUUCUGUUGUUGUAAUCUUUUUCCUCCUCACUUUUUUCUCUUUUUUUUUUUUUAUCCUGGUUCUGUUGUUGAUCUUUUUCCCCCUCUAUUAUCUUUUGUUAUUUUUAUUCGAUGAGGAUGAAUGAUCGCAAAAUGGAGAGGUCAUUGGGAUUUUUUUGUUGCUGGAAAAAUUUGUGAGGUUUGAAUGUGAAUAUCCCUUGGAUGGAGAUGAAGGUUGAGAGAAUAGAAAAUCACUUGCGAGAUGAGUGGUAGCCGAUAUGCUUUUCUGUAAAAAUUGGAAGAAGAGAAAAGGUGAUUAUGGAGAUAGUGGAUGUGUGUAAUGGGGUCAAGAGUUGCGUGUGAUCCCUGCUCUGGGAACAGGUGACCCCAAAUGGGAUGAAGUUUCCUGCCAUUCAAUUCUUUCAACAUUGCAAGCAAUUCCACUCUCAUGCAAAAAUGUAUGGCAGUCUAAGCCUAAGCCUAAGCCUAAGCUUACUACAACAACCUAAUCUUUAGUUUUAAAGGUCUCACUCACCAAUGUUUAACAAAUCCAUUAAGUAAAUCAUCCCAAAUCAUCUAUAUUUGCGGGGAUGAAGAUAUAGGUUUUGUUCUCAUCUAGGUGAUUUCUGUGCACGAGUGAUGGGAAGCGUAGAAAAUUUUUGAGUUCCUCUUUGUUGAUUUAAAAGCAAUUUUUUUAUUGAUUUAAAAGCAAAGAAAAGUGACGAUUUGAGGGAUUGGGAUGUACUCUCAUCUCUCUAUCAUGAAGAGAUUAGAGAGUGAUCGAGGUUUUUUUAUGUAAUUACCCUUAUUAUUUUAUUUGAAAUAAAUUAAGUAUGGUGUUGUCUUCUGGAAUUGAAAUGAA